CUCUGUCAAAUAAAUAAAUAAAUAAAUCUUUAAAAAAAAAAUACUUUUAAAAUAAAUAAAUAAAUAAAUAAAUAAAAUCAUUGUCUCCGAUUUUAUUUUUAAAAACGUUUUAAAAACAUUUUCAAAAGUCCUAGGGUGAUUAAAAGUUUUCAUUGUGAUUGCCACUCCUUAUUUUGAAGAGAGUCAUGGUAACUGUCACUAGACAAAAAGAAAGCUUUUGAAAUUACCCGUGAGGUGUUCAGUAGUGUCCUUCUUGACACAACAUUAGGCGUCCAAGUCAGGAAUAGAAAGAAUCUACAGAAUGGGAUGUUUUCUCUCCCCAUCUUCCCACAGCUUCUCUUUGAGUUUAAAUUCUCUUACUGCUUCUUUCCUAGAUUCCUUUCCAAAUAUGUUCAUGCAGAUGAAGAAGAGCUUUCUGGGAUAUUUCAGUUGCCAGGUCCUGUGCAUAACGGGAUCACUCUAGGGACACUGAGACCCAGAAGAAAAGAACGAGUCGGUGAAAACACCUGUUUAAGACCAGGAAAGCACGAGUUUGGCGAGCCUCUAAACCAGCGUGGGGGCUCUGCUUGCCCCAAAUGCAAAUGUGGAGGACUCUGAGCUUAGAAACAAUAGCAUUUCUCGAGACAUCAACUGUUAGAUACAUACCAGAUAUCUGAUGGGUGUGAUAUUCUUUCUUUAUUCCUUGACUCUCUCAUGUUUUGAAAUGUUUAUGUAUGUAUACGUACAUAUAGAUACCCAUGUACAUGUAUGUGUUUGCAUGUGUAAAUAUG
This 770-nucleotide long non-coding RNA is filed under the name Mustela putorius furo (domestic ferret). RNAcentral's name for it is "lncRNA (ENSMPUG00000028670.1)". Lineage: Eukaryota; Metazoa; Chordata; Mammalia; Carnivora; Mustelidae. The record is from RNAcentral.